Long non-coding RNA from Tympanuchus pallidicinctus (lesser prairie-chicken), 151 nucleotides. RefSeq lists it as uncharacterized. The transcript is spliced from 2 exons. NCBI's taxonomy places the organism in Eukaryota, Metazoa, Chordata, Aves, Galliformes, Phasianidae. The record is from RefSeq and is a predicted model, not a curated record.
AAGUAAACCGGGGAGAAAAGGACAAACAAAGAGCAAAGGGGUGGACUGCAAAUAUAUGGCAAAGCAAAAAAUUCAAAGCAACACAGUGAGACAAUAUAAAAGCUAGCAAAACCUAAGGGGAGAACAUGGAAAAAAAAAACAAACAAAACCA